Molecule: long non-coding RNA, 337 nt
Filed under: Cottoperca gobio
Lineage: Eukaryota; Metazoa; Chordata; Actinopteri; Perciformes; Bovichtidae
Description: lncRNA (ENSCGOG00000003693.1)
Source: RNAcentral
AUGUAUGUUGAGAAAUUCAUCGUUUUCUUUGACCUGGAGACCACUGGAUUCGGCAAAAUGUGUGACAUCAUCCAGUUGUCGGCCAUCCAUGAAGAUAGAGACUUUAACGUCUACAUCCUCCCCAGCUGCCCCAUCCAUGAGAAAGCCUCAGAGCGUCCCGUGCUGCUGGCGGCCCACAAUGCAAAGGUGUGGGAUGCACCCUUGCUCCAAAGAGACCUGCGACAGUUCUCCCUCUACACAGAGUUCCAGCAGGUGGUGUCUGGGUUUGUGGAUACCUUACCGCUAAGCAGGAACCUCCAUCCUGAUCUGCCCAGUCAUUCUCGGGUGAAUCUGGUCC